GAUGAACGCUAGCGGCAGGCCUAAUACAUGCAAGUCGAGGGGCAGCACGGUAGCAAUACUGGUGGCGACCGGCAAACGGGUGCGGAACACGUACGCAACCUUCCUUUAAGAGAUGAAUAGCCCGAAGAAAUUCGGAUUAAUGCAUCGUAAGAUUGUGGGAUGGCAUCAUCCAGCAAUUAAAGAUUUAUUUCGCUUAAAGAUGGGCGUGCGCCUGAUUAGGAGUUGGUGAGGUAACGGCUCACCAAGCCGACGAUCAGUAACUGGCGUGAGAGCGCGACCAGUCACACGGGCACUGAGACACGGGCCCACUCCUACGGGAGCAGCAGUAAGGAUAUUGGUCAAUGGACGCAAGUCUGAACCAGCCAUGCCGCGUGAAGGAUGAAAGCCCU
Molecule: ribosomal RNA, 389 nt
Filed under: uncultured bacterium
Lineage: Bacteria
Description: bacterial SSU rRNA
Rfam family: Bacterial small subunit ribosomal RNA
Source: RNAcentral